CCGAGCGUGACCCCCCCGUCAAUGUAUAGGGGGGUGCCUCCCGUCCUUUGCGGGCCCCUAGGGGCUUUCACACUUUGCUUCGGCGGGCUGCCCGCCGGAACACCCUCAAGAAAAUCUCGAAUAAACCGUUCUGUCCGAUGGUUGCGAUAAUAAACA
RNAcentral lists this unclassified non-coding RNA (156 nucleotides) under uncultured Venturiales. Its description in RNAcentral is "sequence contains ITS1". Lineage: Eukaryota; Fungi; Ascomycota; Dothideomycetes. The record is from RNAcentral.